This is a long non-coding RNA of Carya illinoinensis, 502 nucleotides long. RefSeq lists it as uncharacterized. The record is from RefSeq and is a predicted model, not a curated record. NCBI's taxonomy places the organism in Eukaryota, Viridiplantae, Streptophyta, Magnoliopsida, Fagales, Juglandaceae. The transcript has 4 exons.
CACUGGUGGAAAUCUUUUCAACAGAUGCCCGAGGCAAGGAUCCAGCGUCCAGCUGGUUCUCUGUAUUCAAGUUGUACUUUUGGCACUGGCUUGUGGCAGCAAGUGUUCUUAUUGUUUACUUGGCUGUAAUUUAUGGGACAUACGUUCCUGAUUGGAAAUUCACUGUCCUGAACAGCAAUAGUACUGUUGAGAUGACAUAUUGAUCAACAUGGGAGUUGAUUUAUUCAGCAACAGCUGGAACAUUGCUUGAUCAUUCAAAGGGUCAAGGCUAAGAAACCUUCUUGGAAGAUUGGUUCCUCGUUUGCUACCAAGAAGGCCACAAAAAGUUCACCUAAAGUCCAGAUUGAUGCUGAUUUGGACCUGAUAGACGAAGAUAGCCUAAAGUCCAGAUUGAUGCUGAUUUGGACCUGAUUUGGUUCCUCAUUGUAAUUUUUUUUUGUUUUUUUUGAAAUAGUAGCAGCAUUAUAUUAGUUUAAUUAGGUAUAAUGUAUUAUUAUUUAUU